RNAcentral lists this long non-coding RNA (325 nucleotides) under Trifolium pratense (red clover). RNAcentral's name for it is "long non-coding RNA (TPRA_LNC003247)". The record is from RNAcentral. Lineage: Eukaryota; Viridiplantae; Streptophyta; Magnoliopsida; Fabales; Fabaceae.
AGGCUAGGCCGAGCUAGGCUUUGCCAAGCCUGAGCCUGGCCUGUCAAAAAAUCGAAGGUCUGAGCCUGACCUGUGGCCUAUCAUAGGCUUAAAUUCUAGGCCUGAGCCUGACCUUUUGAAAGUCUGAUGUGGCCUGUUAGCCUGUUUAAAAGCCUAUUUCAUAUGAACAUAUUUAAAUAAAUAAUUAUAUUUAUUUUGAAAUAUACUUAUCAACUAAUAAAAUAAUGUUCCAUUUGAUAUUUUAGAGAAUUUGACUAUAUAUGUCAUCAUAUUUCAAUUCUAGUUUAUAAUAAUACAUUUAUAUAUGUUAAAAACUAAUGUAGAU